RNAcentral lists this ribosomal RNA (516 nucleotides) under uncultured bacterium. Its description in RNAcentral is "bacterial SSU rRNA". It matches the Rfam family "Bacterial small subunit ribosomal RNA", at positions 29 to 518 of the family's 1533-position model. The record is from RNAcentral.
ACGAACGCUGGCGGCGUGCCUAAUACAUGCAAGUCGAACGGUCUUUCUAUGGAAGCUUGCUUCCACUGAGAAGAUAGUGGCGAACGGGUGAGUAACACGUGGGUAACCUGCCCAUAAGAGGGGGAUAACAUCCGGAAACGGGUGCUAAUACCGCAUAGUUUUCUUGAUCGCAUGAUUGAGAAAGGAAAGACGGCCUUUGUGCUGUCGCUUAUGGAUGGACCCGCGGCGUAUUAGUUAGUUGGUGAGGUAACGGCUCACCAAGACGAUGAUACGUAGCCGACCUGAGAGGGUGAUCGGCCACAUUGGGGCUGAGACACGGCCCAAACUCCUACGGGAGGCAGCAGUAGGGAAUCUUCCGCAAUGGACGAAAGUCUGACGGAGCAACGCCGCGUGAGUGAAGAAAGGUUUUCGGAUCGUAAAACUCUGUUGUCAGAGAAGAACAAGUUGGAGAGUAACUGCUCCAGCCUUGACGGUAUCUGACCAGAAAGCCACGGCUAACUACGUGCCAGCCGCUGC